This 1554-nucleotide unclassified non-coding RNA is filed under the name Lytechinus variegatus (green sea urchin). Its description in RNAcentral is "d(1) dopamine receptor-like, transcript variant X6". The record is from RNAcentral. Lineage: Eukaryota; Metazoa; Echinodermata; Echinoidea; Temnopleuroida; Toxopneustidae.
AGUAGCGUUGCGCCACGGUGAAGACUUACCUGUGUUCAGUUAGCCGCUCUGGAAGAUGAGCCGCUGCUUUGUCUACUGAGGAGGCGCGAACAAUAGGUACCACGUCGAAAACCUACGCUUUCAUUGAUGGGCCACAGCUAAAUGCCUAGUAGGACCUUUCCAAUUGUUCUCAUUUCUUACAAGAGUCCUGAAGCCAUUAUCUCCUCUUCGAUUGGCUUCAGAAACUUUACAGGGCAUUAAUAAGGGGGAGAGGUUGCAGUGAAAGAGCCGCCGCGCUACGUACAUAAUAGGCCAUCAGCCUAUUGGGGAUUUGUUUGCCAAGCGCGACGCACGCCGCUCCAUCACAACAUCUCCCUCGUCUUGUAGUAACACACUUUAUUUCACAGCGCGCCUCUCUGAGAGACGCUUCUCUCUCUCCAUCUCUCUUUUUAAUAAAUGAGGAUCGAGAAGUUCAUAAAGAGGAAUCACGACGAACUAUUAUAUUUACCUUUAAUCUAUUGACUCUUUAUCGCAAUCUUCAGAUAGAUCUUUGAUAGCGUUGCCCUUGAUUGUUUUUUCCUACAGUCUACGGAACGAUUGGAAUACCUUCGGAUAACUGUCAUCUCAUUUGGACGGCAGAGAUCUCAAAGACAAACUCGCUGGGUAGGACUAUUUAUCGUGCAGCAUGAACUGAAAAAGGAACUCUUCUGUAUUUGCAUUGUUAUAUCAGGGAGUCGGGAUUGAAGAAUUCUUGUUAGCUCUGCCUCGGAUCGGAUGAUGUUGAGUUGAAGAUUGAACAUAGCAUCUGAUGAAAUCCAAGGUUCGCCAAGUGCUUUUAUUUUCAAAUAAGUAAUUCCCGUUUCAAGUAAUGAUACGAAUGAAAGGUCUAUGUAAGUCAAUCCGAUCCGACAAAUCUCAAUAUGCUCAGGAUGUGCUUCUGUAGAACUCGCGCGCCAAUCCUGGAAUACACGACAUGAUUUUUCAGGAGCGGCGUAUAUAGGGGUAUCUUUUUUUUUUUGGGGGGGGCUACCCAAGGGUGACGUCAAAUGAAUCUCAAUGGAAUUGUGGAAAUAUUGUACAAUUACACAACCAAGAUCUGUUCAUUUAAACGUAUCUUCCUAAUUCGAUUUUCCCUUUUUUACAUUUCCUACUUUUUCGCAUGGGGGGUCUUCCUCUGCUUACUAUGAAGCCACUCCUGAUUGGUCUAUUCUAGUAGACAUAGAAACUGUGGCAUGAUAGAAUGCUUCUAGAUCUAUAAUGUUUCAAUUCUUCGUAGUGACUUUUGCUUAAUGUUUUUUCAGGAUGUUCAUUGUCAAAGGUAUAGUACAUGUAUUUGCAGACGUCGUUUCUUUUAGGGGCGGGUACACUGUAGAAAGUGGCGGAGGGGCGGGGACGAAAUGUAUAUUAACAUGUGCAACAUGAAUCGAAAUCUUGUAAUUGCUUAUAAGACAGAGUGGUUGAUUGGACCAGGGGGCUGUAUGCAAACAGAGAGAUAUCAAUUUAAGCCACCGACUGUACCUUUUUGAACAUUGGUGCCCAUAGACUUACAUUAUUUUGCGAUUGAUUUCACACAUA